GGUCACUCAAAUCUCUCCGAUUCCGAUCAACUUUCACUAGAAGAUCGAAAUCGAGAAUCAAUGGAUUCCAUGCGUAAAAGUGAUUCAGAAGAACAAGUUUCAUCUGCGUCUUCAUCAUCAUCAGAUUGGAAGGAACGGUUUCUUUUUCCGACUCUCUUAGCUGGGGUGGCUGGUGGAGGAGCUGGUUUGGUAUCAAAGCACAGGAAAGUUCAUGGCUUAGCAAACAUUUGUGCAACUUAUGCAACGAAUUUUGCUAUCGUCACUGCAUGUUAUUGCGGUGCUCGUGAGUUCGUAAGAGCAAGUAGAACAGGAAAGCCUGAUGAUCUGCUGAACUCAGCUAUUGGAGGUUUUGGUAGUGGUGCUAUACUUGGACGUCUGCAAGGUGGUCAACUUGGUGCUGUUCGUUAUUCUGUCAUGUUUGCAGUUGUGGGAACAACAGUUGAUUAUGCUACUAUAAGAGUAAAACCAGCCUUGAGAAGCUACUACGACUCUCUGGUCAAUAAGAAGGAUGAUUGGCUAAAACUUCCUGAAUGGUCGCCUAUCCAAGUGCUUGACGAGGAAGCUCUUGCUGCAAAGCGUGCUCGGGAAGAGGAGCUAUACAGAAGUGUCCACAAUCUGAAGAAGGAAUCAUGAUGGAGAAACACUUCCAAUUCGAUAUCCUUUGGAGAGACGGGAUCUUUCUUUUGAUUGAAGACACUUUAGUGCAGUUGCUGGCACAGAUCGUAGAAACAGAAAAUGGCAAAGCAUUUGAUGGGUGUUCAAUGUUUUUCCGAGCUUACAACACAAGUUGCGUUACACUGAUGGAAAGUACAAAUCUGGAAUAAAUAUUUGCUAUGUUAUGGCAAAAUAAAUUGAAAAAGGCAUGAAAAAUCAUCGUUAUAAGAGAAA
This 888-nucleotide unclassified non-coding RNA is filed under the name Hevea brasiliensis (rubber tree). Lineage: Eukaryota; Viridiplantae; Streptophyta; Magnoliopsida; Malpighiales; Euphorbiaceae. The record is from RNAcentral.